UUCAAAUGCCCUCAUUAAAAUGGCUGGAUGCUGUGUAUGUGAGAGAUUGUGUUGUGUGAUGAUUGAUGUGGGAAGGAAGGCUCUUCUGCUGAGGGUGUCAGGAUCCCUGAGCUAGUGUGCCUGGACUACAUAAGAGAGCUAGCUGAGCAUGAGACAGUGACCAAGCAAGAGGGCAAGGCAAGAAACAAUGGUCAUCCAUGGUUUUUGCCUAAUUUUCUUGAAGCUUGAGGUUCUCUCCUUAGCUCACAAAAUGAUGGACUGUGAUCUGACAGGACCAAACAAGUGAACAUGCUCAUUACCUGAGAUGCUUUUGGUUAGAGGAUUCAAUCAAAGUAGCAGAGUAGCAAGUUAGAACUAAGAAAAAAAAAACACAUAAAGUGAUUUUGUUGCUGGACAGAAACUGCACAUGUUUUCUUUUGGAGGAAUGUGGGAGAUAGCAGGACUUGAGAUGGCAAACAGCAUCGAAAGCUGUACUUAGAGCUUAAUUGGCUGUUGUAGCAUCUGGAAGAUUGAAGUAUUGCAAGUAAUGCAGACAGAAGUUGAGGUCAUAGGAUUUUAGUUGAAAAUAGACUCCAUGAAAAAUUUAGGUAGUUGUGAUUUCUAUGGUAAUUUGACCCCAAAUCUUUCUUAUCUGUCCCAUGCUCUUACAAAUUGAGUAAGACCGAAAUAAAAAAUAACUGGCUGUAUUUUGUAGAUGGAAUAUAGAAUCUGUUGGAUUGGGGGGAGGGUAUGGGGGGGACUUUUGGGAUAGCAUUGGAAAUGUAAGUGAGGAAAAUACCUAAUCAAAAAAAAAAAAAAAAAAAAAAAGAAUCUGUUGGGUGAUUAUUAGUAGUAACUCAUUCAGGACUAAAAUG
Molecule: long non-coding RNA, 854 nt
Filed under: Mus musculus (house mouse)
Lineage: Eukaryota; Metazoa; Chordata; Mammalia; Rodentia; Muridae
Description: long non-coding RNA chr5:109874405-109875259
Source: RNAcentral